UUGUAAUGAUCUAAUUUCUUGUAUGGUUUAUUUAUCAGGGUCUGCCUUCCUAACAGGCUGUAGGUUCCUCAAGGGUUGGGACUGUGCCUGUGUUCUGGGCACCUGCCCAUGCCUGGCAAUUUGAAGAAGCUCAAUUGCUACAUGUUGAAGGAAUGAAUAAUUGCAUGAGCAACCAUCGAUAAUUGCAUGCUACAACCAUCAAACUUGCAGGGUUCUUCCAUGGAAUAAGUGAGCUUCAGCACCACAGAAGAGACCAGAGUCUACCUUGCCAGCUCCUCUAGCACCGACCACGUGCCAAUUCAUGUCCUGAAUGCUCACUUCACUUCUUCACCUUGCUUCACUUCACUUACUGCACGGGAACAGAAAAGCCUAGAGAGGAUGGAUUACCUGUGCGGUUGCCUCCCUCUGCAGAGUGGGCGUGUCUCAGGAGCUUCUCUUCUUCUCCAGCCCAGUGCGGCCUCGUGUCAUCCAUAGGACCCACCGGCAGAGGGCAGGGCCUGCGAGUGGGGCCAGCCUCCUGGUGACUCUCGCCUCCUCUUUUCCAGCGGACGCUACCAGAGGACGAAGGUCUGACUCUGGCCAACGGCCCAGAAUUUCUGGCCCAGUUUUGCCUGAGGAAGCCAACUGUGCAGGAGGUCAGGAUCCCGGUAGGGUGAGAGUGGGAAAGUUAACAUUCCCAAGAGACUCCAAGCAACAGGAUUUCCUGACCUGGGACUAUUACCUUUCUCACAUUACAUGGCCAGAUUUACUUCCUGCUAUUAUUAAAAGUACGAAAAAGAUGAAGAUAUGUGUUUAAUGGAAACAAGGGCAAGAGUUUGCCUGACUGGACUUUGAGGAGGCUGUAGGAUCAUGGCGCUAACGGCAUUUGGAGGGCUGGGAAGGGACUCUAGCCCUGGCUUUACCUGCCUUUGUCAUCAGCUGGAGCAAGCAACUCCGCAACCUCGGAGCCUCAGUUUCCUUUUCUGUAAAAGGCGGGGAGGGUGGGUGGUAAGUGCAAUGCUGAAUCAGAACUCAUAGAGCUGCUGGGUGGACAUGUGAAGUAAAAGAGGAGACAGCUUUUGCUCCUGAAGGAUGCCAUUUGCGUUUUCCUCAUCAGUUUGAUCUCCUCCAAUCAUCCAGCACCUCCAUCUGACCUUCUCAGCUGAGAGGUCCUCAGUGUUUCUGUGGCCUCCAGGAGAAAGGUCCCCCUCCCCGGCUGAGGCCAGGCUGAUGGCAGGCUGCACGGCCAGCCUUCCACAGUCACCUGAAGGAUACAGAAAAGGAAGAGCUGGAGGCUUCUAGCAAGCUGCCGAACUGUGUCCUCCAGCUGCGCCCAGCCCCCUGGAGGUAGCGCCGGAGCACGUGGUGGUGGCUAUGUAGGAAGGCCCCUUUCGAGCCGCCCUAUACUGUCUUUGGGAUCUGCUUUUUACUGCCACAGCCUAUGUGCUCCUGAUUCUUCUCUCAAUCCCUGGAUGGAAACCGGCCUCUGAUACUUGGCUCUGCUUCCUUGGAGGAGCUACUUAACCAUUCAGUCCUCUCUGCAGUUAGCUAUUAAGGUUGUCCUGCGAACUGAAGCAGAGAGUCCCCGCAAAGGGUGCAGAGUAGGGCACCCACAGAGGAGCCUCUAAAGCACUUUCCAUGAGGUGGAUGGCUUCUCCUCCCCAAGGGACCCAGGAAGGAAAGGAGAGCUGCUUCUGCCUCCCCAGCAGAGAGGGACCUUCCCAGAGAAGAUGUCUUGCGCCUCACCUGAUCUUGUUCUGAGAGUAGGAGACUGGAAGAGAAGCGUUCAACUCCCCAAACACAGCUGGGUUUGUUUCGUUUAAUCUCCCAGCCUGUUUUUCUGCUGUCCUCCUGAAGAAUGUUUAAUCUCACAGUUAAAACCACCAAAAGCGACUUUUUUCCCCCUCAACUGCUCAGUAACACAUGACCGUGCAAAUUCGUUUGGCCCCAGCGCCACAAGUCAUAAAAGGCAUCUAGUGGGCGGCAUGAGUCAAUCAGGCCUUUGGACGGUGACGUAACCACAGCUUGUCAGUUUCCCCAUCCAGGCAGCCCCAAUCCCCCAGUGCAGACAUCUGGAGCCAGGGAUUGACAAGUGGAUUCCAGGAUUGGGCCCUGCCUCCCGCCCUGUUCAGUUCCAGCCCAGCCACGGCCGCCGCCAACGAGGACACGCACUGUCUUUCUGCACAUUCCCACGUACACACACCCCCGCAGCCCCCUCUCCACUCAUUCCUGCAUUUCCGGCAAUGUGAAUUCUGACAGCUCGGGCAGUGUCAGCCUCUCCGGUGCAUUCCUCACCACACCACCUCACUGCUCCCGAGCCUGCUGACAGCACUCCCCGCCAUACCUACCAAGCCGAAGGUGCAAGGAACCUCUUGAUCCCCACUGUGUCUUUGUCCCAGGGCCACAGCAAAAUAGCACCCCCCUCCCCCACACACCCUCUAGCCUAAUUUAUUAGACUUUUAAACACAUUUAUUUACUGUGAUAUCUACACCACACCAAACAUCUGGAGGGAAACCGGGAGACAAUCCACCAGGAAUUUAAAUGUUUGUUCUGCAAUGUAACUUUGAAAACCGAACCAGGAAAACUUGACAUCUUUAGCCAAUUGCUUGGUGGUGAGUAGACUUAAGCCAAUAUAUAAUCUGUAAAGGUUGUCCCUCUUUGCCCUCUCUCUAUCCAUGAAACGCAUUCACCAAACAGCCCAGAAAUAUUUCUUUCUUCUCCUCUCAGAGGUAUGUGAAACCAACCUGAAUCAACAACAUAGUUGUUCAACCAGCCUCACUGAGAACGAAGGCAUUUCAGAGCUGGAAAGACGCUAGGGUCUGGGGUCUUAUCUUCCACAUUUAUCUGCCUUAUUAUAAUCCAUCCAGUCAUCCUCUUUGCCCUUGCCAGAUCUCAUCGCUUACACUACCACUACCGAAGGAGCAUAACGUCUGUGACUUUUCUUUUUUUUUUUUUUUUUUUUUGAGAUGGAGUCUUGCUCGGUAACCGGGCUGAAGUGCAGUGGCAGGAUCUUGGCUUACUGCAACCUCUGCUUCCUGGGUUCAAGUGAUUCUCCUGCCUCAGCCUUCUGAGUAGCUGGGACUCCAGGCAUGCGCCACCACGCCCAGUUAAUUUUUGUAUUUUUAGUAGAGAUGGGGUUUCACUAUGUUGGCCAGGUUGGUCUCGAACUCCUGACCUCGUGAUCCAUCUGCCUCGGCCUCCCAAAGUGCUGGGAUGACAGGUGUGAGCCACCGCACCCGGCCACGUCUGUGACUUUUCUAAAGCUUUAAGAUGAUGUCACCCAUAGGCAGAAAGGCCCACUCAUUUCGUGCAUCUGCAGUCACUCUUCUGACGAGGUGCGGCUCUCUUUUGUUCUAUCAAAGAGAAAGCCAGUCUAAAUUAAUGGGAAACUAGAGAAUUAGGUCAUUUUUCAAGAUGAAAUUGCUGGUAGCUUAAGGAAUCAGCUACUUGAAUCCCAUGCUAAAAAAGUGUAACUCCUGAGGAGUGAGCUCUUCUUUCUUCCUUCCAUAAUGUCAGGCACUAAGGGAGGUUCAGAAACACAGAGCAGCAUCUACUCCUUUCUCAACGAGCGUGGGGUCCAGUGCAGUUGGCCCUCAUUUAACAAAUAAUUACACCCAUGCGUGAAAGGUCCAGUGGGGAAACAGUGCGGGGAGCCUCAGGCAGAGCUGAUUCAGGCCUGGGGAGGCACGGGAGCCACAUGUUCAGGGUCCACAGGCCCAGCGGAGUGAUACGGAAGUUUCCAAGAUGGUAAGCCUCUCUCCUGGCCCAUGCUCACCAACGGGACCCCAUUCCUAACCAGGCUUUCCCUCUCUCUCUUUUAAGUGUUCCAGGAAUGUUCCUACCCCUGCGUCUUUGCUGAAGCCCCUCUUGCCUGGGAUGCCCUCUGUCCUCUCUUUCUGCCCACACACAUCCUGCCAGUCCUUCAGACAGGGCCAGCCUCACGGGCAUAGGACCUGAGCAGUUUCACAGGGCCCUAUGCACAGAAGGAUCCCAAGCUCGGUUGAUUGCUCCGAUCUUGCCAUCUUGAAACUCUUUGAUAAUUUUAUCUUUUAUCUUGUGUUUUGGGAGUGAAAUCCAAUGGGAUAUUGGGGCCUGCAAAGGAGAAGAGGAGAUCCGCACAAACCCGUUCCUGGCUGCUGCAUUCACCUCCAGCGUUUGUGAUGCCCCAGAGCACAGAACUCCAGGGAGCCCACGAUGCAGGAGAGUUCAGCGACAUUCACUGAGUACAAGAGAAGUGAGUUACUCCUGCAGCUGAGCACGGGGGGCGCUGGCAACUGCGAAAGGUCUCGCUUUCCAUUCCAACCAGAACUUGCUCCUAGCGCAGACAGAAGGCCGUGGCAUUCUGAGAAACACACAUGAUGAAGGAGCCCUGUCAUAUCCUCUCUUCCUUGCAUCGCUUCCCCGUGUGAGCAACCACUUGUGCUGGAAAUGAUGACAAGGAAGGACCGGGAAAGACAGGGCCACCCGCAGUUCCUUUUCCUUGACGUCUUUCCUUCCUCAUCAGCGAGCUGAGGUGGAGAGCGUUGGUAGAAUGUGUGCAUAAUAAGAAGUGAAAUAAAAACAGUCGAGUUAGUAUUCUACUGUUUCCACUGUUCUGGUGAGAACAAAACACAUAUGCUGUAUAUGCUUUGAAAUACAAAGUGUGUAAUUUUAGUGAUUCUGCAUAGGAGUUAAAUGUUUUUAUAUUUGCAUUUAAAACUGCCAUUGUAUACUAUAAAGAUAAAGAGUAAAAUGUAUUCUAAUAGUUUAACUUUACUAAUAAUUUAGUUUUUACUUUUAUUUACCUAGAGUAACAUUAAAUAGCAAACAAACAAAACAAACAUCACAAGUUGAGAGAGAAACCACAAAAGAAAGAAAAAAGCUUUAUAUGUUAGUACCUUGAGAGGCACUUUUUCCUGCUUUUUGAGUAGGGAUUCAUGUUUUCCCGUUGCACUGGGCCUCACAA
RNAcentral lists this long non-coding RNA (4924 nucleotides) under Homo sapiens (human). Its description in RNAcentral is "HSALNT0305489". Lineage: Eukaryota; Metazoa; Chordata; Mammalia; Primates; Hominidae. The record is from RNAcentral.